RNAcentral lists this transfer RNA (68 nucleotides) under Fulvia mutica. RNAcentral's name for it is "tRNA-Val". Lineage: Eukaryota; Metazoa; Mollusca; Bivalvia; Cardiida; Cardiidae. The record is from RNAcentral.
UGGGGGGUAACAUAAUACUAAUGUACUUCUUUUACACAGAAGAAAUGGGGUUUUACCUCUCCCCUUAU